CCCUUAGAUGUCCGGGGCCGCACGCGCGCUACACUGAAGGAAUCAGCGUGGCUUUCUCCCUGACCCGAAAGGGUUGGGAAACCCGUUGAAUCUCCUUCGUGAUAGGGAUUGGGGCUUGAAAUUGUUCCCCAUGAACGAGGAAUUCCCAGUAAGCGCGAGUCAUAAGCUCGCGUUGAUUACGUCCCUGCCCUUUGUACACACCGCCCGUCGCUACUACCGAUUGAACGGUUUAGUGAGGGCCUCGGAUUGGUCUCGGCCCGCUCUUUACCGGGCGGCGCCGUUGGUCGAGAAGACUCUCGAACUUGAUCGUUUAGAGGAAGUAAAAGUCGUAACA
This 334-nucleotide ribosomal RNA is filed under the name uncultured eukaryote. RNAcentral describes it as "partial 18S ribosomal RNA". It matches the Rfam family "Eukaryotic small subunit ribosomal RNA", at positions 1470 to 1796 of the family's 1831-position model. The record is from RNAcentral.